Salvia miltiorrhiza (redroot sage) is the source of this 1335-nucleotide long non-coding RNA. RefSeq lists it as uncharacterized. The transcript is spliced from 2 exons. Lineage: Eukaryota; Viridiplantae; Streptophyta; Magnoliopsida; Lamiales; Lamiaceae. The record is from RefSeq and is a predicted model, not a curated record.
UAAGAUGGGAUUGAGGUAGCAAGUGGCCAAGUGGGGUUGAGAGCAUUAAAUGAACAUUUACUGGGCAUUAAUUUAACUUUAGCUUAUGGAACAAGUAUUAGCUUUUCAACAAAAUAAAUUUCUCUCUCCUCUCUCCCCCGCAAUUUUCGUCCCCCUCUCUUCUCUCUCCCUCUUUCUCUUUUCUUUCUCUAUCCUCCAUUGAUGAUACCUCCAAGCUCCAAAAAUCAUUUUUAUACCAUGGAUCUCCACAACAAUCAAUCCUUAAACAUCCACAACUUAGAAUCAAGAGCAAGAAUAGAAGAUGUUUCAAGAUUGAAGUCAAGAGAGCUUCUACCAUUUUAGUGAAAUCAUUGACCCAUGGAUUAUCUUCGAUGUUAUGAUAUCAGAAGAUAUGAGCAGAGGACGGAAGUGAGUUCGCCUCGAGUGCUACGAGAGUAAGCUAAGAUCUUCAGAUGGGCAUUACUUUUACUAUACGUAUAUAGAGAUCUCUUGUGUGUCGUAGGCCUCUUAUACGAUUAUAUGCAUGAUAUGAUUUAACUGUUAAUUUCAGUUUUAUGAAAAGUUCAAAUGAUAAAUGGCUCUUAUGAAAUGAAAAUGAAAAUGAAAUGUCUUAUGAAAUGAUAUGAAAUGUUUAUGAAAUGACUGUCUGCCAAAAAUAUUUAUGUUUUACGUAUGUAUCCUAUCUGUGUUGGUUCGCCAACUUUAAAGGAAAUCCAAUUGGGACCCUAUGCUAGACGAAGGUAUGCUAGUACGGGUUAACGUGUACACUCAUGGAGACCGCGAGUCGCUUGUGACCGGUCCUGGCAUCCGUGGAAGGAGGCCUUCUUCGCGGCGCGUGAUAGAAAGGACAGAUAUGGAUCAUAUGAAAGAAAAAUGAUCGGCCGAUCGACUUUAUGAAAAUGAAAGAAAUAUUUUAGUAAGCACAGGUCUUUCAAGAAAACCCUUGUGUGUUACUGUUUGGCAGUACAAUGAAUAUAUGUGUAUGUUAUGCAUGAAUGUAUUUUCGGCAUGUGCCCACUGAGUAUUUUUAUACUCAACCCUGCAUGUAUUUCUAAAUGUGCAGGUUGAGCAGCUGAUGGAAUGGAAUAAUGUUGAGCGGGUAUUCCUUUGUCAUUUCUAGAAAUAUAACCUUAAGUAUACAUCUUCAUAUGUAUAUCUCACACGUUUUUCGCUGCGAAACACUUUGAUUAUGGGAACUCUAUGUUAUGAAGUCAAUGUAUUCAUUUUUUAGUAAUCCAUCUCGAUUAGGUCAUCCUUAUGUGAAUGUUUUGUAAGUAUUUGAAUGAUCAAAUAUGAUCCUAGUACUUCCUUUUAAUGUCAUAUUUUUUCAAAAUA